AUUGAACGCUGGCGGCAGGCCUAACACAUGCAAGUCGAACGGUAACAGGAAGCAGCUUGCUGCUUUGCUGACGAGUGGCGGACGGGUGAGUAAUGUCUGGGAAACUGCCCGAUGGAGGGGGAUAACUACUGGAAACGGUAGCUAAUACCGCAUAACGUCGCAAGACCAAAGAGGGGGACCUUAGGGCCUCUUGCCAUCGGAUGUGCCCAGAUGGGAUUAGCUAGUAGGUGGGGUAACGGCUCACCUAGGCGACGAUCCCUAGCUGGUCUGAGAGGAUGACCAGCCACACUGGAACUGAGACACGGUCCAGACUCCUACGGGAGGCAGCAGUGGGGAAUAUUGCACAAUGGGCGCAAGCCUGAUGCAGGCAUGCCGCGUGUAUGAAGAAGGCCUUCGGGUUGUAAAGGACUUUCAGCGGGGAGGAAGGGAGUAAAGUUAAUACCUUUGCUCAUUGACGUUACCCGCAGAAGAAGCACCGGCUAACUCCGUG
RNAcentral lists this ribosomal RNA (490 nucleotides) under uncultured bacterium. RNAcentral describes it as "partial 16S ribosomal RNA". It matches the Rfam family "Bacterial small subunit ribosomal RNA", at positions 30 to 507 of the family's 1533-position model. The record is from RNAcentral.